Erythranthe guttata (spotted monkey flower) is the source of this 548-nucleotide non-coding RNA. The record is from RefSeq and is a predicted model, not a curated record. NCBI's taxonomy places the organism in Eukaryota, Viridiplantae, Streptophyta, Magnoliopsida, Lamiales, Phrymaceae.
GUUCACGUGUGUUCAUUUCGCAGGGACUUCAGGAUCAUCAAGUUGCUAGCUACUGAUCCGCUUUUACUCCCCUAGCUCAUUUAUUACCCUACUAUAGGUAAUCUAAGUAAUAGCACCAUCAGUAUGCAUGCUUCAACCACGAAUGUAAACAAUCUAGAAUAAUUUAAGGUAGUAGAUAAACUAUUGGAUGUUCAACUUAUUUGCAUUUUGACUACGUAUGUCAAUUUGUACUUACUAUGUGAACUCCUCCUUUGCAGUCCAUUUUCGAUAGAGUUCAAGGUCAGCAUCGUAAUUACUUUCCUGUCGGAUCAAUCUAAGAAACACAAGAAAGUCGCCGACCCAAAAGCUCCAAAAUCAUGGGUGGCAAUGGAAAGUGUACCGUUGGAACUGGUCCGCACAAUGUGAGAGAUACUUCAACAAGAGUUAUAUUAGAUGCUUGGGGAGACAACAUAAGCGGUCAGAUAUGUUCGCGACUCUGCUUUUUUUACAUUUACUAUUUGCAUCAAACACUGUUACAUUGGAUCCAUAUUUUAUACGUUAGAUACUAU